RNAcentral lists this ribosomal RNA (440 nucleotides) under uncultured bacterium. Its description in RNAcentral is "partial 16S ribosomal RNA". It matches the Rfam family "Bacterial small subunit ribosomal RNA", at positions 338 to 795 of the family's 1533-position model. The record is from RNAcentral.
CCUACGGGAGGCAGCAGUGGGGAAUCUUCCACAAUGGGGGAAACCCUGAUGCAGCAACGCCGCGUGAGUGAAGAAGGAUUUCGUAAUGUAAAGCUCUAUCAGCAGGGAAGAAAAUGACGGUACUUGACUAAAAAACCCCGGCUAACUACGUGCCAGCAUCCGCGGUAAUACGUAGGGGGCAAGCGUUAGCCGGAUUGAAGGGGUGUAAAGUGCGCUGAGGCGGCAGUGCAUGUAUGGAGUGAAAGGCGGGGGCUCAACCGCAGGAAUUCACUGGAAACUGUACGGCUGGAGUGCAGAAGAGGGAAGUGGAAUUCCUAGUGUAGCGGUGAAAUGCGUAGAUAGUUGGAGGAACACCAGUGGCGAAGGCGGCUCACUGGACUGUAACUGACGCUGAGGCUCGAAAGCGUGGGGAGCAAACAGGAUUAGAUACCCCAGUAGUC